CUCACAGUGUUUUUUUCAGAGUUCCACACCAGGUCUUUGAAAGCCAGCUGGGAUGGAGUCAGCUCGGGCUGCAAGUAGGAACUCGCUCGAAACUCAUCGUCUACAACAAGGGCUGGUGACCAGGGUGAGGAACUCACCACAGACCCCUGAGAAUCCUGCACUGGAACUCUCAGGAGAAAUCCUCACCUUUCUCUAGGAGCUGGAAAAGCGUGGACGGGCGGAAUCCUGUGGGAACUGCUCCUAUGGUGAUUUUCCUGGGCAGCAACCAGCCUGGAAAGAAGGAGCAGGGAGACAUCUGGACAACCGGGAGAAGACGGAAAAGGCGGAGAAGGAACUCUUUGCUCCUUCUGAUGCAGAGUGAUGGGGACGGAGGGAUCCGCAGGGGCUUCGCUCUUCCCACGCACGGAGCAGAGCCGGGCGACUGCUGGACGAGGGUAAGACAGGGAGCGAGGGUCGGGA
Molecule: long non-coding RNA, 459 nt
Organism: Neopelma chrysocephalum (saffron-crested tyrant-manakin)
Lineage: Eukaryota; Metazoa; Chordata; Aves; Passeriformes; Pipridae
Exons: 3
Source: RefSeq, a predicted model, not a curated record